RNAcentral lists this ribosomal RNA (424 nucleotides) under Hyalinobatrachium cappellei group sp. ABGD cluster 5. RNAcentral describes it as "partial large subunit ribosomal RNA". It matches the Rfam family "Bacterial large subunit ribosomal RNA", at positions 1834 to 2457 of the family's 2925-position model. The record is from RNAcentral. Lineage: Eukaryota; Metazoa; Chordata; Amphibia; Anura; Centrolenidae.
CUUGAAUAAGCAUAAGAGGUCCAGCCUGCCCAGUGACCAUGUUCAACGGCCGCGGUAUCCUAACCGUGCGAAGGUAGCGUAAUCACUUGUUCUUUAAAUAAGGACUAGUAUGAACGGCAUCACGAAGGUUACACUGUCUCCUCUUUCUAAUCAGUGAAACUAAUCUCCUCGUGAAGAAACGAGGAUAAACAUAUAAGACGAGAAGACCCUAUGGAGCUUCAAACUAUAAAGCACCUGCCCCAGUACUACUUAAUUCCAGAAAACCACACCUACCCAGGCAAGAUGACCUUUAGUUUUAGGUUGGGGUGACCGCGGAGCAAAAAAAAACCUCCACAUUGAAAGGAGCCAACUCCUUAGCCAAGAGCCACACCUCUAAGCACCAACAAAAAGACAUCAAUUGACCCAAUAUUUUUGAUCAACGAAC